RNAcentral lists this ribosomal RNA (468 nucleotides) under uncultured bacterium. RNAcentral's name for it is "partial 16S ribosomal RNA". It matches the Rfam family "Bacterial small subunit ribosomal RNA", at positions 28 to 507 of the family's 1533-position model. The record is from RNAcentral.
GAUGAACGCUGGCGGCGUGCUUAACACAUGCAAGUCGAACGGAAAGGCCCAAGCUUGCUUGGGUACUCGAGUGGCGAACGGGUGAGUAACACGUGGGUGAUCUGCCCUGCACUUCGGGAUAAGCCUAGGAAACUGGGUCUAAUACCGGAUAGGACGAUGGGUUGGAUGCCAUUGUGGAAAGUUUUUUGGGUGUGGGGUGUGCGCGCGGCCUAUGAGCUUGUUGGUGGGGGAAUGGCCUACCAAGGCGUCGACGGGGAUGCGGCCGGAGAGGGGGUAGGGCGACAUUGGGCCUGGGGAACGGCCCACGGCCCAGAGGGAGGCGGCAGGGGGGAAUAGUGAACAAUGGGCGCGAGCCUGAAGCAGCGACGCCCCGUGGGGGGUGACGGCUGUCGGGUUGUAAACUCCUUUCGCUAGGGACGAAGCGUUUUUGUGACGGUACCUGGAGAAGAAGCACCGGCUAACUACGUG